UUCAAGUAUUGCAUGGCCAUCUCUCCUUUCUACUGUUAAUUAAAGUGGUUAUGAUGAUUGGCUAUGGCUAUGAAUGUGAUGACUGAAGAGAUUGCUAUGUGGAGGAUGAAAGGCUAUGGUUUGUUUGCCUGUUAUAUAUAUAGACUGACUGCUACCAUCAUUAUAAUUAUAAGCCAAGAAUACAUUCAACUCAACAGCUAGCUUUUUAGUUUACAAUGUGUAAAUAGCUUUUUAGUUUGCUCCUAAAUUGGAUAUUUAACUUUUGCUCUACUAAUCAAUUUUAUCUUCUUA
RNAcentral lists this long non-coding RNA (291 nucleotides) under Linum usitatissimum (flax). Its description in RNAcentral is "long non-coding RNA (LUSI_LNC001694)". Lineage: Eukaryota; Viridiplantae; Streptophyta; Magnoliopsida; Malpighiales; Linaceae. The record is from RNAcentral.